Non-coding RNA from Lachancea thermotolerans CBS 6340, 102 nucleotides. Lineage: Eukaryota; Fungi; Ascomycota; Saccharomycetes; Saccharomycetales; Saccharomycetaceae. The record is from Rfam.
UUAAAAUGACGAAGCAUAGCACUGGGCACUGACAAUGUUACAAGUAACCGUCAUGAGUGACACUGCUUUAAGUGGGCUUAGAAACCCCACGCUACUGAUUUG